This 220-nucleotide ribosomal RNA is filed under the name uncultured bacterium. Its description in RNAcentral is "partial 16S ribosomal RNA". It matches the Rfam family "Bacterial small subunit ribosomal RNA", at positions 15 to 226 of the family's 1533-position model. The record is from RNAcentral.
GAUCAUGGCUCAGGAUGAACGCUAGCUACAGGCUUAACACAUGCAAGUCGAGGGGCAGCAUGGUCUUAGCUUGCUAAGGCUGAUGGCGACCGGCGCACGGGUGAGUAACACGUAUCCAACCUGCCGUCUACUCUUGGCCAGCCUUCUGAAAGGAAGAUUAAUCCAAGAUGGCAUCAUGAGUUCACAUGUUCACAUGAUUAAAGGUAUUCCGGUAGACGAG